GGUCUGGUGGCCUAGUGGUUAGAGUUUCCACCUCGGAUGCGGAAGGUCGAGGGUUCGAAACCCGACCGUGUCA
Potamilus streckersoni is the source of this 73-nucleotide non-coding RNA. The record is from the annotation of a GenBank genome assembly. Lineage: Eukaryota; Metazoa; Mollusca; Bivalvia; Unionida; Unionidae.